GAUGAACGCUGGCGGCGUGCCUAAUACAUGCAAGUCGAGCGAACAGACGAGGAGCUUGCUCCUUUGACGUUAGCGGCGGACGGGUGAGUAACACGUGGGUAACCUACCUAUAAGACUGGGAUAACUUCGGGAAACCGGAGCUAAUACCGGAUAAUAUUUCGAACCGCAUGGUUCGAUAGUGAAAGAUGGCGCUGCUAUCACUUAUAGAUGGAUCUGCGCCGUAUUAGCUAGUUGGUAAGGUAACGGCUUACCAAGGCAACGAUACGUAGCCGACCUGAGGGGGUGAUCGGCCACACUGGAACUGAGACACGGUCCAGACUCCUACGGGAGGCAGCAGUAGGGAAUCUUCCGCAAUGGGCGAGAGCCUGACGGAGCAACGCCGCGUGAGUGAUGAAGGUCUUCGGAUCGUAAAACUCUGUUAUUAGGGAAGAACAAACGUGUAAGUAACUGUGCACGUCUUGACGGUACCUAAUCAAAAAGCCACGGCUAACUACGUG
RNAcentral lists this ribosomal RNA (497 nucleotides) under uncultured bacterium. RNAcentral describes it as "partial 16S ribosomal RNA". It matches the Rfam family "Bacterial small subunit ribosomal RNA", at positions 28 to 507 of the family's 1533-position model. The record is from RNAcentral.